Nomia melanderi (Alkali bee) is the source of this 2547-nucleotide non-coding RNA. NCBI's taxonomy places the organism in Eukaryota, Metazoa, Arthropoda, Insecta, Hymenoptera, Halictidae. The record is from RefSeq and is a predicted model, not a curated record.
GAUUGUGGCUUGUGUCGUGUUAUCAAGAAAUGUCCAUAUUUUUAAGUAGACGUAUUCGUGUGAAAUAGAAACGCGCUAGGAAGGUCCACAUGUUAUCUUAUCUGAACCUGUUCUAAUAAUGCAAAGUAUGUUACAUCAUAAAUCUCAGAUAGUUUAAGUAAAAGUGAAAUCUUAUCACGUUUUCGUUGGUGGUAAAUAUUAAAACAAUGAUAAAAAAGGGAAUAAAUAAUAUAUAAACAUCUGAUUUUGUAUUAAUGCUUAACAUUGCACGCUAGAGUGAUUUUGUUUCGUUUCUCAUCGACGGUUAAUUGCCGGCUGACCGUGAAUAACGAGUUUUUUCGUUUCGAGGAGCUCGCAUAAAUGGUGGAGAUAUCGAUCUACACUAUAAGAACGAUGACAAAGAAGGGGUGGAGGCUUACAGAGAGUGUCAUGCUUAGUGUCUCGAAUUCCUUGGAAACAGAAGCGGGGCACAGGAAACCUGAUUUACUCGCGAGCGAAGCUAGAAUAGCGAGGCCUUCGGAUGUCAGUCAUUAUAACGAUGAGUACCUACGCGCUAGAGGAAUGGCGGCACCGAGAGUCAUGUUCAGACUGACUCAGGUGCAACUUCUGCUUGAACGUGAAGUGUGUAAAAUUAUUAGCUACCGGGCAAAGUUCGCGCGGAGUCUUAAAUCAAAAUUUAAACGCGGAGAACGUUUUUGUAGAAUAGUCUCAUGUUAUUUCAUACCAACGGCAUAAACGUAACUUGCUGCUAACACCAAUUUCGUUCGUUGAACUAGUUCUAGUGUAACGAAUGAAACUUCUACAGAUUAUCAUCCUUGACAAUUGAACUGUCGUACUGCGAGCUGGAAAUUAGCAAAAUAUAAUUUCAAAUUAUAGUUACAGUCACGCACGAAAUGAUCUGAUUCGCCUCGGUCUACCCUAUAUCUGUUACAGUGGCAAACGGAUAGAGCGUCUGUGCGACCAGACCGGGAUUCACCGAGACCUUGCUGUAAAUCAGCUGCAUUUCUAGCCGAGAAUCAGUUACUGGGUCAUCUGCAACAGCUGAUUACGACAUAAUUCCUUGGGUCGAAGAGUAUGUGUAAAAAAAGUCAGUUCGAAGUUGUAAGUGUCGAUGUGACAUUUUUCAGGAGGAGGAAGAAAGUUACCCAACAUUGCGUGGAACGAUAUGUCACAAUGAUGUCAUCUCUCAACGUUAUCGGUAUUAUGGAGGACUGCUAUUAUUAAUGAUAUACUUGCGAAAGGAAAAUCGCACUUAAAUUAUCUACUACAGCCUGAGAAUGGAGAAAGGAAAUUUUUUAAUUUUGGGACUUACAGUGUUCUUUUACAAGAACUCUUUAAUUAUGGUGUAUUGUGCCUGAGCAGAACUAUUGUUCCGAAUAUCUCGGAUCAAUAGUUUUGUAAUGUUACUUAUUAAUUUCUUUUCGAUGGUUGCGACGGUUUCGAUAUUUCGAGACAAGCCAUUGUCUGAUAAUUUUCUUCCCGAUUGAACCGGGAAGAAUCACUUCAAUGUUAAUAAUUUCCCGGUAACAAAAGAAAUAUGCAUAUUCACAGAGAAAUUCAAUUUAUUGUAAAGGUUAAACAUUCAUCGACGGGAAACACAAUUGCCUUCCGACUGACGUGAAUCGAAUAAUAUCAACAUUUAUUGAAUUCAAUGUACAACCUUCGUCACGAGUCUUACACAAUAUCAUAAAAUAAGGAGUUGAAUUAAUCAAUUGACACGUAUGAAACGCAAUUUAAAAUCUUCGCCGCGUGUUCGACUCGAUAGCACAAGGGAAACGGUUACCUUGAAUUCGUAAAGUAUUUAUAUAAAAAGGUAACGAAUUAUAAUUCGAAAAUUAUAUAAAUAACGAACUAAAUUAGAAAAGAAUCACAAUAAACCACAACGAAAUUCUCAUUACACUUUCCUCCAAAUACACGUGCGUGCUAUUCACGCAAAAGAAAACCAUCGAAAAUCGUAUAAAACCGAACGUGUCAACAAUAAACGCAUUAAAGUAACAUGUCUAAACAACCUGUACUAUUCACUACUCCAUUACUAAACGCAACGUAACGAAAGCAAGCGUUCGUUCAUCUCGAUCACAAUGUUAGUAGCGAUUACGCAAUCGAAUACAGAACCGCAGUGAACACGUGGUCGAGGGUGGGACGCAUACUGAAAAACGUCCCAUUAAAUUCACACGUGAACGUCAUCAUUGCAGAAGCGCUAAACAGAUUAAAAGCAAAACUGCUGUAAUCUAGUAUAAUCCUUGCUAACUGGAGAUUCUACGUUGCACAGCAUCAACUUUCAAAUUUACUCAAAUUUCAUCCACUAUCUCCAUACUCCGUGCAGAAAAUUAAAAUCUGACGUAUACUAAAAAAGAACAAAAGAAAGGGGUAAAAGGAAGAGAUAACAUAAAUUCGUUCACAGUUGCAACUAAUGGAUUCCCUGAAAGCGAUGACAACUCGAGGAUAAAGUACCGACCGAUGUCAUUCCACUAUACUUGAAUUUGUCACCGAUAAACUAUUAGCUCAGCCGCAACAAGACUAAUUAAAAUAUGUACGGGUAUAUUAAGA